UAAGGGCGCACGGUGGAUGCCUUGGCACUAGAAGCCGAUGAAGGACGUUACUAACGACGAUAUGCUUUGGGGAGCUGUAAGUAAGCUUUGAUCCAGAGAUUUCCGAAUGGGGAAACCCAGCAUGAGUUAUGUCAUGUUAUCGAUAUGUGAAUACAUAGCAUAUCAGAAGGCACACCCGGAGAACUGAAACAUCUUAGUACCCGGAGGAAGAGAAAGAAAAUUCGAUUCCCUUAGUAGCGGCGAGCGAAACGGGAAGAGCCCAAACCAACAAGCUUGCUUGUUGGGGUUGUAGGACACUCUAUACGGAGUUACAAAGGACGACAUUAGACGAAUCAUCUGGAAAGAUGAAUCAAAGAAGGUAAUAAUCCUGUAGUCGAAAAUGUUGUCUCUCUUGAGUGGAUCCUGAGUACGACGGAGCACGUGAAAUUCCGUCGGAAUCUGGGAGGACCAUCUCCUAAGGCUAAAUACUCUCUAGUGACCGAUAGUGAACCAGUA
This 495-nucleotide ribosomal RNA is filed under the name Staphylococcus aureus. Its description in RNAcentral is "partial 23S ribosomal RNA". It matches the Rfam family "Bacterial large subunit ribosomal RNA", at positions 12 to 500 of the family's 2925-position model. The record is from RNAcentral. Lineage: Bacteria; Bacillati; Bacillota; Bacilli; Caryophanales; Staphylococcaceae.